AGGUAGCAUAAUCAUUUGUUAUCUAAAUGAUAACUAGUAUGAAUGGUCUGACGAGAAAAUAACUUUCUAAAAAGAAGAGAUAAAAAUUUAUUUUAAAGUAAAAAAGCUUUAUAGCCUUAGAAAGACGAGAAGACCCUAGAACCUGUUCUAUUCCUAUAGUUUGUUGGGGUGACAUUAUUCAAAACAAAUAACUAUUAAAACUUAUUAAUUGACUCUAUCUAUCUUUAUUAAAAAAAAAAAAGGUACUCUAGGGAUAACAGCAUAAUCUUCUUCUAGAGCCCUAAUCGACAAGAAAGAUUUUGACCUCGAUGUUGAAUUGAUAUUUCUUUCUAAAGCAGAAU
This 341-nucleotide ribosomal RNA is filed under the name Armadillo officinalis (oak-woodland pillbug). RNAcentral's name for it is "partial large subunit ribosomal RNA". It matches the Rfam family "Bacterial large subunit ribosomal RNA", at positions 1954 to 2561 of the family's 2925-position model. The record is from RNAcentral. Lineage: Eukaryota; Metazoa; Arthropoda; Malacostraca; Isopoda; Armadillidae.